Molecule: long non-coding RNA, 3884 nt
Filed under: Ornithorhynchus anatinus (platypus)
Lineage: Eukaryota; Metazoa; Chordata; Mammalia; Monotremata; Ornithorhynchidae
Description: lncRNA (ENSOANG00000044732.1)
Source: RNAcentral
AUGUUGGGGGUGGAGGAAAUGUCAAAUAACCUUGAGCGAGAAGUUGAUGCCAUGGAACACAACAUAGCAGUGCCAUUACUGGGGAUUGGCCAUGCAGAAGCAGCGGACAAGCAGUCGACGCCUCCGAAGAACAACUCUAUUUGGGAAGGGGUACCCAGGAAUGAGCUCUUCGUGGCCUCCGAGGAUGGGCCUAGCCUAACCCGACCCUUAAUCUCCUGCAGAGACUCAGAAUCAGUCGUAUUGCAACUCAUUUAAUAUUGUGAUGUUAAACUUCGAAUGUAUUUUUAUGGUAUUCACAGAGUGCCCAGCAUAUGUCAAACGCUGUUCUAAGCGCGGGGGUAGAUCCAAAUUAAAUAGGACACCGUCCCGGUCCCGCAUGGGGCUCACAGUCUAAGUAGGAGAGAGGACAGGUGCCCCCAUUAGCUUAAGGACAUUUACUGCAAUAUACAGCACAUAGAGGAAUUUCAUAUUUUUUAGAAAUUCAGGAAAGGAUCUUAAUUUAUAACUCUGGGAAACCUUCCCACAACACAACUAUAUUGUCAAGGAAAAUAACUCAGUGGUAUCAUGGGGCCUGUCUGUUUUUUUGAAUAGAAGGAGCCCAGUCUAAUGGUAGGAGCACAGGCCUGGGAGUCAGAAGGACCUGGGUUCUAAUCCUGGCUCCACCACUUGGCUGCUGUGUGACCUUGGGCAAGUCGCUCAACUUCUCUGUGCCACAGUUACCUCAUCUGUAGACUGUGAGCCCCAUGUGGGACAGGGACCGCAUCCAACCUGAUUACCCUGUAUCUAUCCCAGGGUGUAGUACAGUGACUGGCACGUAGUAAACCCUUAGCAAAUACCAUAAAAAUAGGUGUAAUAAUAGUCGUGAUAUUUGCUGAGUGCUUAGUAAAAGCACUGUGCUAAAAACUGGGAUAGAUACAGUAUAGGCAGGUGGGACGCCAUCCUUGUCCAACAAGGGGCUCACAGUCUAAGGAUGGGGAGUGAGCAGAUAUUUCAUCUCCAUUUUGCAGGUGAGGCGUCUUAGGCGCAGAGAGGUUAAGCGACUUGCCUAAGGUCACACAGUGAGCAGGUAGCGGAGCCAGAAUUAGAACUCGGGUUUCCUAACUCUCAGGCCCGUGUUCUUCCCACCAAGUCCCUCUGCUUCUCAAUAAUAGCACUUGAUUAAGGACUCCGUCCAUUCUGCACUCUUAGGUUUGAAUUUCAAGUGUUAACUUGUUACGGGCUUGAGCUUAAUGUGGCCCAGACAGAACUCUUUAUCGUCCCACUCAACUCUGGCCUCCCCUUGACUUUCCCGUCCCAUCACUGUAGACGGCACCACCGUCCUCCCCGUCUCGCAAACCCGGAACCAUGCCGUUAUCCUCGAUUCAUCUUGCUCGUUCAACCGACGUUUUCAAUCCCCAGAUCCUCUUGGUUCGACCUUCGUGACGUCGCUAAAAUCCGCGCUUGCCUCUCCCUCCGAACUGCUACGACCUUCAUCCAGAGCGCUUAGCCCAUCCCGCCUGACUACUGCCUCGGCCUCCUUUCCCUGCUCGUUCACCUCCGCGUCAAACAGGAACCCCUCCAAAGCCCUCGAUCGUCUUGCCCCCUCCCACCUCACCUCCCCGGUUUCCCGUUUACAGCCCAACCUACGCCAGUGCCAACCUACUCGCCGUACCUCGAUCUCGCCUAUCUCGCCGACGACCCCUCGCCCACAUCCCGCCUCUGGCCCGGAGCAUCUUCCCUUUUCCUAGCCAACAGACGAUCGCUCCCCCCACCUUCCAAGUCGUAUUAAAAUCACGUCUCUUCCAAGAGGCCUUCCCCAACUAAGCCCUCAUUUUCUCUUCUCCCACUCCCUUCUGCUCCACCGCUGCACUAGGAUUUGCACCCUAUAUUCAGCCCCUGUAAGCUUGAUGUGGGCAAGGAACCGUCUACUGACUCUUAAACUGUACUCUCCCAAGUGCUGAGAACAGUGCUCCGCACACAGUAAGCAUUGGGUAAAUACGAUCGAUGGAGGGGACAGCUCUUAAAAGGAAUUGUUUUAGGAUUUAUAAUGGAACUUCUCUUGACCAGGGCAUAAGGUAUUUCUCUAAAUUGAAGGGAUUAAGGAAAAAUAGUUCAGGAGAGUGCAGGCCUGACUCCAGAUAUUACACAUUUGUGCGAUAAACGGAAGGGCCCAAAUUUAAAUGAUCCAUUUGGGUCCUUGCUUUUUCCUUCAGCGUGCAGUGUUUUCAUUUCUCUUGGGGGUUAUUGCAGUGUUCACAUACGGUUUCUGAAGUACAGUCCGCUCUGCCGUGAUGCAUGCUUUCAUUUUGCAUUUUGGGUAGAACAAGAUGGGCAGAAUCGGGCAACGUUUAUUUCCCGAGCGCUCGUCUGGCUCGGUCAGCGGUAUUUAUUGAGCACCUAGUUUUGGCAGAGCACCGUUUUCUAAGCACUUUGGGAAAGUACCUCGCGCUAAAGGUGGGAGACAGACACAAUCCCUGCCCACAAGAAGCUUACAGUCUGUGGUCUAAAUAGAACCUGAUGUGGUGACGGGAGAAACGGUUCAUUCGGGCAACUUGCACAAUAGCCUGACUGAACGUGACUUCCUGAAGUAUUGGCAGCUCCCGUGAUAAACCUGGUUUAUGUUCCUCGAAAAGGUCAUUGUACCAUAGACUCCCGGGUUAAUACACUACCAUUCCUCCCAGAGCCCCUGGAAAAUGAAAUUCCUUUAUGUGCUUUAUACUGUAAUGAUAAAUCUCACGCAACUGUGGUUCGACCUUAAAGGAUUUCAAAGGAUACCGGCACAGUGAUAAAUGAGGAGUUGUAACAUGCUGAGCCUUUGCAGGAAUAGAAGCCUGUUUCGCUGAUCGGCCGGGUGCCCUAGCGUUAGAAGCAGCAAGGCCCGGCAGAAAGAACGCAGAGCUGGGCGUCCAGACAGUUGGGUUCUAACCUCAGCCCCACCAGUCACCUGCUGAGUGUCCUUUGGUGAGUCACUUGGGAACAGGAACCGAAGUUUCCUAAUCCGUAAAACAGGAAUGAAAUCUGCACACUUUCCCCCCCGCCCCCGACCGUGGGACAGGGACUGAGCUGGAGUUGAUUCAUCUUGUGUCUAGAUACCCCAGUGCUUAGCAGAGUGGCUGGUGUUUGGAAGCACUUAACGGAUGCCGCGGUUAUGAGAAGCAGCGCGGUUUAGCAGAUAAAACCCGGGCCUGGGAGUCAGAGGGACCUGGGUUCUAGUCCCGGCUCCGCCACUUUGUCCGUUCUGUGGGCAGGUCACUUCACCUCUCUGUGCCUCAGUUGCCUCGGGUGUAAAAUGGGGAUUAGGACUGCGAGCCCCAUGUGGGACAGGGACUGUGUCCAAUCUGAUUAGCUCGUAUCUACCCCGGCGCUUAAUACAGUGCCUGGCACAUAAUAAGCACUUCAAUACCAUUAAAAAAAAAAGUCGUCUAACGAGGUGAACGGCAGCCUUCUUUUCUUAAAACAUCUUGUAGCAGGUGAAUUCCUUCUGAACACCUCUGUGCACCUUUGAACUCUUCUCCAUUCUGGUCUUCAAGUGUAUUACUAAGGAAUCAUUUUCUUGAAGCGGUAGUGAAACCGUGACUCCGUCCAUUUUGGCAUUUUCAAAUGAUUGUUGAACUUAGAAGUCUUCGUUGGGCAAUGAUUCCUCUGAAUGAGAUUGCUAUUGAUUCAUCAAACUUUUCUUUGUUUUUUUCUUUGAUAUUUGUUAAGCACUUUCUAUGUGACAGGCACUGGGGUAGACCCAAGCUAAUCAGGUUGUAUUAAUCCCCCUCUGAUAAUAACGAUGGCGUGUGUUAAGUGCUUACACUGUUCUAAGCACUGUUUUGUAGACUGCAAGCUUGGUGUGGGCGGGAAAUGGAUCUGUUUGUUGUUAUAUUGUACUCUCCCAGAUACUUAGUACAGUGCUAUGC